UGGGGAAUAUUGCACAAUGGGCGCAAGCCUGAUGCAGCCAUGCCGCGUGUAUGAAGAAGGCCUUCGGGUUGUAAAGUACUUUCAGCGAGGAGGAAGGCGGUAAGGUUAAUAACCUUAUCGAUUGACGUUACUCGCAGAAGAAGCACCGGCUAACUCCGUGCCAGCAGCCGCGGUAAUACGGAGGGUGCAAGCGUUAAUCGGAAUUACUGGGCGUAAAGCGCACGCAGGCGGUGUGUCAAGUCGGAUGUGAAAUCCCCGGGCUCAACCUGGGAACUGCAUUCGAAACUGGCAGGCUAGAGUCUUGUAGAGGGGGGUAGAAUUCCAGGUGUAGCGGUGAAAUGCGUAGAGAUCUGGAGGAAUACCGGUGGCGAAGGCG
RNAcentral lists this ribosomal RNA (376 nucleotides) under uncultured bacterium. Its description in RNAcentral is "partial 16S ribosomal RNA". It matches the Rfam family "Bacterial small subunit ribosomal RNA", at positions 355 to 723 of the family's 1533-position model. The record is from RNAcentral.